Molecule: ribosomal RNA, 952 nt
Filed under: Alternaria alternata
Lineage: Eukaryota; Fungi; Ascomycota; Dothideomycetes; Pleosporales; Pleosporaceae
Description: partial large subunit ribosomal RNA
Rfam family: Eukaryotic large subunit ribosomal RNA
Source: RNAcentral
UUUAUACUCCCCGGGGAGAAAAUAGCAUAUCAAUAAGCCGCAUGUAAAAGAAACCAACAGGGAUUGCCCUAGUAACGGCGAGUGAAGCGGCAACAGCUCAAAUUUGAAAUCUGGCUCUUUUAGAGUCCGAGUUGUAAUUUGCAGAGGGCGCUUUGGCUUUGGCAGCGGUCCAAGUUCCUUGGAACAGGACGUCACAGAGGGUGAGAAUCCCGUACGUGGUCGCUGGCUAUUGCCGUGUAAAGCCCCUUCGACGAGUCGAGUUGUUUGGGAAUGCAGCUCUAAAUGGGAGGUACAUUUCUUCUAAAGCUAAAUAUUGGCCAGAGACCGAUAGCGCACAAGUAGAGUGAUCGAAAGAUGAAAAGCACUUUGGAAAGAGAGUCAAACAGCACGUGAAAUUGUUGAAAGGGAAGCGCUUGCAGCCAGACUUGCUUACAGUUGCUCAUCCGGGUUUCUACCCGGUGCACUCUUCUGUAGGCAGGCCAGCAUCAGUUUGGGCGGUAGGAUAAAGGUCUCUGUCACGUACCUCCUUUCGGGGAGGCCUUAUAGGGGAGACGACAUACUACCAGCCUGGACUGAGGUCCGCGCAUCUGCUAGGAUGCUGGCGUAAUGGCUGUAAGCGGCCCGUCUUGAAACACGGACCAAGGAGUCUAACAUCUAUGCGAGUGUUUGGGUGUCAAGCCCGAGCGCGUAAUGAAAGUGAACGGAGGUGGGAACCCGCAAGGGUGCACCAUCGACCGAUCCUGAUGUCUUCGGAAGGAUUUGAGUAAGAGCAUGGCUGUUGGGACCCGAAAGAUGGUGAACUAUGCUUGAAUAGGGUGAAGCCAGAGGAAACUCUGGUGGAGGCUCGCAGCGGUUCUGACGUGCAAAUCGAUCGUCAAAUUUGGGCAUAGGGGCGAAAGACUAAUCGAACUAUCUAGUAGCUGGUCCUGCAGUUUUCCUCCCCCCCCCCAGA